GUUCUCAGGGCGGGGUGAAAGUCCCCACUGGCGGUGACCUUCUGGGGAGUCCGCGAGCGGCCUUCGAUGGCGGAGGCGUCAGCAGAUCCGGUGCGAUUCCGGAACCAACGGUAACAGUCCGGAUGGAAGAGAAU
RNAcentral lists this non-coding RNA (134 nucleotides) under chicken gut metagenome. Its description in RNAcentral is "FMN riboswitch (RFN element)". It matches the Rfam family "FMN riboswitch aptamer (RFN element)". Rfam says of the family: The RFN element is a highly conserved domain that is found frequently in the 5'-untranslated regions of prokaryotic mRNAs that encode for flavin mononucleotide (FMN) biosynthesis and transport proteins. This element is a metabolite-dependent riboswitch that directly binds FMN in the absence of proteins. The record is from RNAcentral.